This 253-nucleotide ribosomal RNA is filed under the name uncultured bacterium. RNAcentral describes it as "partial 16S ribosomal RNA". It matches the Rfam family "Bacterial small subunit ribosomal RNA", at positions 524 to 776 of the family's 1533-position model. The record is from RNAcentral.
UACAGAGGGUGCAAGCGUUAAUCGGAAUUACUGGGCGUAAAGCGUGCGUAGUCGGUUAUUUAAGUCGGAUGUGAAAUCCCCGGGCUCAACCUGGGAAUUGCAUUCGAUACUGGAUAGCUAGAGUUCGGCAGAGGGAAGCGGAAUUUCUGGUGUAGCGGUGAAAUGCGUAGAUAUGCGGAGGAACACCGAUGGCGAAGGCAAUCCCCUGGGCCUGUACUGACGCUCAUGCACGAAAGCGUGGGGAGCAAACAGG